GUCUAUAGCCAUGCCACACUGAAUAAGCCCCUUUGUUUGGUCUCAGAAGCUAAGCAGAAUCAGGCCUGGUUAGUACUUGGAUGGGAGACCCACCUGGGAAGACAAGAUGCUGUAGGGA
RNAcentral lists this ribosomal RNA (118 nucleotides) under Pteropus alecto (black flying fox). The record is from RNAcentral. Lineage: Eukaryota; Metazoa; Chordata; Mammalia; Chiroptera; Pteropodidae.